This 465-nucleotide ribosomal RNA is filed under the name Vreelandella stevensii. Its description in RNAcentral is "partial 16S ribosomal RNA". It matches the Rfam family "Bacterial small subunit ribosomal RNA", at positions 338 to 795 of the family's 1533-position model. The record is from RNAcentral. Lineage: Bacteria; Pseudomonadati; Pseudomonadota; Gammaproteobacteria; Oceanospirillales; Halomonadaceae.
CCUACGGGAGGCAGCAGUGGGGAAUAUUGGACAAUGGGCGAAAGCCUGAUCCAGCCAUGCCGCGUGUGUGAAGAAGGCCUUCGGGUUGUAAAGCACUUUCAGUGGGGAAGAAAGCCUUGGGGCUAAUACCCUCGAGGAAGGACAUCACCCACAGAAGAAGCACCGGCUAACUCCGUGCCAGCAGCCGCGGUAAUACGGAGGGUGCGAGCGUUAAUCGGAAUUACUGGGCGUAAAGCGCGCGUAGGCGGUCUGAUAAGCCGGUUGUGAAAGCCCCGGGCUCAACCUGGGAACGGCAUCCGGAACUGUCAGGCUAGAGUGCAGGAGAGGAAGGUGGAAUUCCCGGUGUAGCGGUGAAAUGCGUAGAGAUCGGGAGGAAUACCAGUGGCGAAGGCGGCCUUCUGGACUGACACUGACGCUGAGGUGCGAAAGCGUGGGUAGCAAACAGGAUUAGAUACCCUAGUAGUC